RNAcentral lists this ribosomal RNA (554 nucleotides) under uncultured bacterium. Its description in RNAcentral is "bacterial SSU rRNA". It matches the Rfam family "Bacterial small subunit ribosomal RNA", at positions 767 to 1313 of the family's 1533-position model. The record is from RNAcentral.
AGCUAAUAGAUACCCGGGUAGUCCUGGCAGUAAACGGUGCACGUUUGGUGUGGGAGGAUUCGACCCCUUCUGCGCCGGAGCUAAACGCGUUAAACGUGCCGCCUGGGGAGUACGGUCGCAAGAUUAAAACUCAAAGAAAUUGACGGGGGCCCGCACAAGCGGUGGAGUAUGUGGCUUAAUUCGAUGCAACGCGAAGAACCUUACCUGGCCUUGACAUGCAUCUCUAAGUUGGUGAAAGCCAGCGAGUCCCGAAAGGGACAAUUUGCACAGGUGCUGCAUGGCUGUCGUCGGCUCGUGUCGUGAGAUGUUGGGUUAAGUCCCGCAACGAGCGCAACCCCUGUGAACUGUUGCCACGGAACCGAGAGGUUCCAGCACUCUGUUCAGACUGCCCCUUUUCAAAGGGGGAGGAAGGUGGGGACGACGUCAAGUCAGUAUGGCCCUUACGGGCCAGGGCUGCACACGUACUACAAUGCCCAGUACAGAACGAUCCGAGACCGCGAGGUGGAGGAAAUCCAGUAAAACUGGGGCCCAGUUCGGAUUGGAGUCUGCAACUC